Long non-coding RNA from Dreissena polymorpha, 1605 nucleotides. RefSeq lists it as uncharacterized. Lineage: Eukaryota; Metazoa; Mollusca; Bivalvia; Myida; Dreissenidae. The record is from RefSeq and is a predicted model, not a curated record. The transcript is spliced from 5 exons.
CAAAAUGGCGGAGGCUUCGAAAUCUACAAUGAGCGUACCAGCCAAAACAGAGGGAGAGAUGAGAAGAAGUAAAUGCGUGAGACAGCCAUCUAAGAGAAUGUUGUAUUCUCAGGACACAGAUUCAGAUUCAAGUCUACAGAAGAGUUAAGGAAAACGUCCUGCCAGAAAGAUCCAGAAAGUUGAUACAUUAGCAACAAUAACUAAGUGGUGCUCUUGUCACAGAUGCCCACAAUACGAGAGAGUGGAAGAUCGAGUUUGCUGUGGGAUGGUCCCAGAAUUAUGCUCAAGUCACAGACCUGAGAUGACUCUUUCGGUGCUGGAUAGGAUGACCCUCUACAGUCAGCAGCAGUAUCAACAAGAUGUGUUUUCCUUUUAUGCAGAGACACUAGAAGAUGUCAAUAAAUCUUUCAGACAUGCUGCAUACAGACAAUUUACCAUCUUAAUGCAUGAGAAUAACUGUCCCAGCAUGUUGUGUUAAAUUAAUAAGGGAGAAGUUUCCUAGUCCUUAAGGCCAGUAUACAGGCUUCGUACCAGGUGAAGGCCCAGUGUUCUAAUAAUUUUGCAUAUUUAUGCCCCCCUUCGAAGAAGAGGGGGUAUAUAGUUUUGCACAUGUUGGUCCUUCCACCAGAUGGUUUCGGGAUGAUAACUUAAGAACGCUUAGGCCUAGGAUCAUGAAACUUCAUAGGUACAUUGAUCAUGACUGGCAAAUAACCCCUAUUGAUUUUCAGGUCACUAGGUCAAAGGUCAGUGACUCGAAACAGUAAAGCGGUUUCCGGAUGAUAACUCAAGAAUGCAUACGCCUAGGAUCUUGAAACUUCAUAGGUACAUUGAUCACGACUGGCAGAGGACCCCUUUAGAUUUUCCGGUCACAAGGUCAAUGUCACAGUGACUCAAAACAAUAAAAUGGUUUCCAGCUGAUAACUCAAGAAUGCUUACGCCUUUUGAUCAUGAAACUUCAUAUCUACAUUGAUAAUGACUGGCAGAUGACCCCUUUUGAUUUUCAGGUCACUAGGUCAAGGUCACAGUGACUCGAAAUAGUAAAAUGGUUUCCUGAUGAUAACUCAAGAAUAAUUAGGCCUAGGAUCAGGAAACUUCAUAGGUACAUUGAUCAUGACUGACAGAUGACCCCUAUUAAUUUUCAGGUCACUAUGUCAAAGGUCAAGGUGACUCGACACAGUAAAAUAGUUUCCGGAUGAUAACUCAAGAAAGCUUACGCCUAGGAUCAUGAAACUUCAUAAGUUCAUUGAUCACGACUCGCAGAUGACCCCUAUUGAUUUUCAGGUGACUAGGUCAAAGGUCAAUGUCACAGUGACAAAAAACGUAUUCACACAAUGGCUGCCACUACAACUGACAGCCCAUAUGGGGGGCAUGCAUGUUUUACAAACAGCCCUUGUUUAUUUUUAUUUCGAGUCAUUUUGUUUCACACUUGAUAUUUGUUAGAUUAGGUUUCUUAAAAUACAUUUUAAACAUGACAUAUGCUAAUGCAUGAUUAAACAUUUCGAAAUCAAUAAAAAAGCAACAAGUUGCUGUUGAAAUUAAAAAAAAUAGUAUCUUAUUAUUGUUCAACCAUGUUUUGUAUAUUGUGUGCUUUCUUUAUGUAGUAAC